UGGCGGACGGGUGAGUAACGCGUGGGGUAACCUGCCUUACACUGGGGGAUAACACUUAGAAAUAGGUGCUAAUACCGCAUAAUGAGAGGAGACGCAUGUCUUCUGUCUGAAAACUCCGGUGGUGUAAGAUGGACCCGCGUCUGAUUAGCCAGUUGGCGGGGUAACGGCCCACCAAAGCGACGAUCAGUAGCCGGCCUGAGAGGGUGAACGGCCACAUUGGGACUGAGACACGGCCCAAACUCCUACGGGAGGCAGCAG
RNAcentral lists this ribosomal RNA (258 nucleotides) under uncultured bacterium. Its description in RNAcentral is "partial 16S ribosomal RNA". It matches the Rfam family "Bacterial small subunit ribosomal RNA", at positions 96 to 354 of the family's 1533-position model. The record is from RNAcentral.